UUUUCCUGUCUUCAUUUCCCUU
Molecule: microRNA, 22 nt
Filed under: Brugia malayi
Lineage: Eukaryota; Metazoa; Nematoda; Chromadorea; Rhabditida; Onchocercidae
Description: bma-miR-9537
Source: miRBase by way of RNAcentral